RNAcentral lists this unclassified non-coding RNA (240 nucleotides) under soil metagenome. RNAcentral's name for it is "partial contains 5.8S ribosomal RNA, internal transcribed spacer 2, and large subunit ribosomal RNA". The record is from RNAcentral.
AACGCACGAGACCUGCGGACCUGCGGAGGGAUCAUUACAGAGUUUGGGUUCCUUUGGAGCCCGACCUCCCAACCCUUUGUCUACUUAACCACUUGUUGCUUCGGCGGGCCCGUCUAGAAAUAGACCGCCGGAGGACCUUAACAUGUCCUCUGGCCCGUGUCCGCCGACGGCCUACCUUUAUAAACUCUGAAUAACCAUGAUAUUUAUCUGAGCACUUAUGAAAUUAAAGCAAAACUUUCA